Molecule: long non-coding RNA, 5895 nt
Organism: Alligator mississippiensis (American alligator)
Lineage: Eukaryota; Metazoa; Chordata; Crocodylia; Alligatoridae
Exons: 2
Source: RefSeq, a predicted model, not a curated record
UCUGAGUCGGGGCAGCCCAUUCCCGCUGGAGGGGGGCCGCCAAGAUCCUUAUGGGCAGCGCUGGGGGAGCGGGGCGCUCUGGGACGUCCCAUGAUACACCAGUGUGGGGGAGCAACAUGCCGAGUUGUCCCAUGAUGCGUUGGGGGAACAGCACCGAGGGCAAUCGUCCAGUGACCCCGGGUGCCUGGCCAUCAACCCACAGAGCCUGGGACACGAGCAGGAGGAACCGGACGUCUUCGCGCAGUCGCAGCACUAUGACGUGAUCAGGAUAACAGAGACGUGCUGGGAGCUCGCAGGACUCGAGAACGGUCAUGGACGGGUGCAAACUGCUAAAGGAAGGACAGGCCGGGGAGAAGAGGAGGAGGAGGAGUCGUCGCACUUUAUGUAAGAGAGCUGUACGACUGCUCAGAGCUCCAGUAUGAAGCUGGAGAGAGGCCUGUUGAGGGUCUCUGGGUUAGAGGCAGAGGAGAGAGCAACAAGGGUGAUGUCAUGGUGGGGUCUGCUAUAGACCACAGACCAGGAGGAAGGGGUGGACGAGGCUUUCUUCCAACAGCUAGUGGAAGUUUGCCAGUCACACACCCUGGUUCUCAUGGGGGACUUCAGUCACCCUGACAUCUGCUGGGAGAGCAAUACAGCAGUGCACAGGCAAUGCAGGGAGUUUUUGGAGAGUGUUGAGGACAACUUCCUGGUGCAAGGGCUGGAGCAGCGAACUAGGGGCCGUUCUCUUCUUGAGGUGCUGCUCACAAACAGGGAGGUUAUUGGUGAGGUAUGUAGUAGUGGAUGACAACUUGGGCAGCAGUGACCACAAGAUGAUUGAGUUUAGGAUCCUGAGGAAAGGAAGGAUGGAAAGCAGCAGAGUAAGGACCCUGGACUUCAGAAAAGCAGACUUCAACUUACUCAGGGAACUCAUGGGCAAGAUCCACCUGGGAAGCCAGACUGAGGCAGAGGAGUCCAGGAGACCUGGCUGUACUUGAAAGAAGCCUUACUGAGAGUGCAGGAACAAACCGUCUCAACGCGCAGGAAGACUAGCAAAUAUGGUAGAAGACUACCUUGGCUUAGCAGGUAACUCCUCAUUAAACUAAAUCACAAAAAAGGAAGCUGAUAAGAAGUGAAAACUUGGACAAACAAAUAAGGAGGUUUGUAAAAGCAUUGCUUGGGCAUACAGGGAUGAAGUCAGGAAGGCCAGAGCGCAAUUAGAGUUGCAGCUAGCAAGGGAUGUGAAAGGUAACAAGGCUUUCUACAAGUAUAUCAGUAUCAAGAGGAGGAUCAGAGAAAGUGUGGGUCCCUUACUGACUGGGAGAGGCAGCCUUGUGACAGAGGAUGCAGAAAAGGCUGACGUGCUCAAUGCCUUUUUCAGCUCAGUUUUCACAGACGAGGGCAGCUCCCAGGUUACUGAACCGGGCAGCACAGUUUGGGGAGGAGGUGAGCAGCCCUCAGUGCUGAAAGAACAGGUUAGGAACUGCUUAGAAAAGCUGAACAUGUACAAGUCCAUGGGGCCGGAUGGGAUGCACCCGAGGGUGCUGAGGGAGCUGGCUGAUGUGAUUGCAGAGCCACUGGCCAUCAUCUUUGAAGACUCAUGGCAAUCAGGAGAGGUCCCAGAUGGCUGGAAAAGGGCAAACAUAACACCCAUAUUUAAGAAAGGGAAAAAGGAGGAUCUAGGGAACUACAGCUCUCACAAUUACCCACCAGGUGGUAGGGGCCAGAGUUAAGGCACCCCUACCCACCUUCCACCAGCGAGGUUUGUGGUCCUGACAUUUAGUUGAGACUACCACACUGCCAGCAGCCCCACCAGGCCAUCCUUAACUGGUAGAGUGCAGUUUUAGGUCAUGCCCAGGACCUGGAGCCCCCAAGCCAUCCCCAAAGCUCCUGCCCUUACCUCCAGGAUGUUCCAGAGCUGUAGCUCAGCCAGCUGAUGUUUCUUUCACAGCCCCUGGCAGCAAACUGCUGUCUCCCCCUAUAUAAGCUGUGUCCUAAGAUGGCCACCCUAAUCAGGCACCUGCCAGCUGCCUGCCUCAGCCCUUAAACUGGCAGGCACCUGAAGGCAUGCUGCCACAGGGCACAGGACUUGAGAGGCUGAGGGAACUGGACUUACAUAGUCUAGGGAAGACAAAGAUGACUGAGAGGGGUUUAUUAACUGCCUUCAACUACCUGAAAUGGGGGUUGAAAAAAGGAGGGAGCUGGACCUUUUUCAGUGGUGUCAGAUGACAGAACAAGGAGCAAUGGGCUCACGUUGCAGCAAGGGAAGUUUAGGUUGGAUAUUAGGAAGUAUUCUCUCACUAGGAGGGUUUUCUCACUACAGCUGGCUACCCAGAGAGAUGCUGGAGUCUCCACCCUUGCAGGUUUUUAAGACCUGGCUUGACAAAGCCUUGGCUGGGAUGUUGAUGUAGUUGGUCCUGCUUGGAGCAAGGGGUUGGAGGUCCUUUCCAACUCUCAUUGUCUAGGAUUCUGUGUCAGUGAUGUCAUCAGUCUAGUAUGGGGAAAAACCUCCAGUUCCCAUAGCCACCUACACGCAAGGGAGUGAGUGAUGGGUCUGGCAUCUCAGCCACCCACCUUUGCUCAGCCCCAGUAUCCAGGCACCCAUGUACAGCUGGGCUUUUGACUCCGGUCUCGAGCGAGGCACUCCACUGCCCCGAUGCUUGGUACAUCAUGUGUCACUCCUGCCACUGGUGAAACAAAACCACUGGUGCUGCCAAACGUCACAGUACACGGCAGCUGCAGCUGGAACGGAAGGAAGAGGAUGGCUUGGGUAUUUGUUUAGCUAGGAGGGUGGCUAAAUGCCCUUUAAUCUUGAUUGGAAACCCAGGGAUUCCCUGCCGCUAUAUGCUAGGACACUUGGGUUCCUUGGAAAUCACCCAUCCAAGGAUAAUCCACUCCUGGCCUGUCUUAAGCUCAUGACAGCUGACAAGCACGAACAGAGCCAGCGUGACUGAAAGCAUAUUACUAUGCCAGUACCAUCUUCCUCUUGUGAUGACGACAAGACUGGUAGAUGCCACAGGGCUGUAUCAUUGCAGAGGAAGUCUUAGCCGUCAGACAGCUAGCGUGGUUAUCAUUUAUUUUUAUUCCAUUCUCUAGCACACAUUACGCUUUCCUUUGAUUCAGAAGAGAGCAGAAAAAGGUUAGGGGGAAGGGGGGUGGGGGGAAGAAUCUCAUGUUACAAAAGGGAAAAGCACACGUGGAUAUAGUCGGCUCUCUACAGCAAAGUAGAUAUAUACCAUGAACGGCAGCAGAACAGUCAGUUCUGUUUUUCCAGGAAAGAAGAGCAGCUUGGGGUUGGUUGUUAAGGGAAAGACCAUUCCUGGUAGCUCUCUGCGUUCUUCUAGCGACAGAAGCAUUAUACUAUCAUAUAGAAUAUACAAUGUCCAGCGCUCUCUCUGGACGCAGACAUGGAGCUGACAGGGCUGCAGAUCCUAAAGCUUCAAGAAACAUGAGCCAGACCCCUAACAAACAAUCAUUAGAUUAACUAAAAAAAUAAAUUGCAAGGUUUCAAUUGCUUUUUUAAAGGAGGGAAGUUGUGGUUUUUUGCAUUUGUCUUCUAGGGUUUGAGCGUCUAGUGGUCGUGUAGGAUUUUCUCUGCAACCACAAGGGUGAAGAAUGGAGUUUAUAAAGAAAAAAGAAGCUGAGAUUAUUCUCAUGUCAUCGCAUGAAAUGAGAACUUGAGUAAAAGAGCAGCUGCCUCCAUGUUAGUGACACUGGGUUUCCAACUCUUGGACCAGAUCCCUCAGCCUUAUGGGAGGCAUCUGCUAAAUGGAGUCAGUUUUAGGUCCAGCUCUAUAGGAAGGAAAAGAUGCAGUGAAGGAGUCGGGCUGCCAGUUUCGCUGUGAGUGAAGGGCUGGGUAGAAGAACCAGGAUCUGGAGACUCAAUGAUGGGCAUCAUAUUGAGUCAAAAGGUAGAUUUCCACCUUAUAGACCGACUAAAUCAAAGAUAACUUCAUUUGAUGCGUCUGAUGAAGUGAGCUUGGGCUAAUGAGAGCUUAUGCUGUUUAUAUUAUAUAUCUAUUUCAGUUAGUCUAUAAGAUGCAACUCUACCCUGCCUGAUUUCAGACUAACACGGUGAACCACCUCUGAUCAUAGUCUCGCUCUUGCGUCCUUCUCACCAGUCUAGUCCCUGCUGUACCUUUCUGAGGUUAUGACUCUUUUUUCAGAUCCAAGCAUGCGUAGUUGUUUGUCACAUAACUGUGUUGGUGCCAAAACUGGUGUGAAGCCAUCAGGCAUUCAAUACCUUUUCCUGAAAUAAUAAAAGGUGUGAUUGGUGUGCUUGAUAAGUGACAGGAGAGUGACAGCACCUCUGAGAGAGGGAUUGAAUGAGCAAAUGGCUGACUGGGGGUAUGACUGGGUCAUUUAAAAGGAGCUUGCACCCAAGGUAGGGGUGCGUGCCUGGGACUGUUUGUGCACUUGCAUCCACACGGGGAGACUGGUCCAGCACCCUGGAAAUCCAGCGCGUCAGAGCAGACUUGAUUUAUCGAGCGUGCUGGAGCAAGUACAUUGAUGUGCUCUGGCAGCCUCACGCAUCACAUGCAUCAGCAGUGCAAUGCGUCUCCGUGCUGAGAAAAUGGUGGUGGUGCUCUCUGAACUAACACACGUUUGACGUGCUUUAGUUCAAAGGGCACCGCUGCUGAUGCACAUGACACGUGGGCAUUUUUAAUUAGCGCAGCUCAAUAAAAGCACCUGGCGCUACAUUGGGAGCAUGUGUAAAAAUGCCCUGUGUCUGAAGGGCUGUGUGCCAUGGUGUUGUGGGAGUUGAGUCGCUCUUGUAUUGAUUGGGGUGUGGUAAGGUGUGUAAUAGAUUUUUUUUUUUAAGGAAAAUUUUUUGUGUUCCAAGUCAAAUUAAUUCCAAAUUCGUAAGUCAUUCAAGAACCAAAAUGGCCUUGCUAGUGGCAUGAAUGACUGGUGCUUCCUGCGACUGGGUGGGCACCAUGGCGGCAAGCGGGGACCACCCGCAGCCGCUGCUGGCGGUGUUGGCAGCAGGGAGUGGGUGGCGAGCAGGGGCUGCCUGCAGCCACCACCAGCCAUGUCAGCAGCGAGGGGGGGGCAGGGGCAGGUGGCGACCGCCUGCAGAAGCCAGUGGCAGCUUAGGUGGUGGCCAAUCUCAGGGGGGCCAUGUGUCCCCCCACUACACUUGCCUAUGACUACCGGCAAGCAUCCUCCAGCCCUGCAUGGGGUUUUAGAUGCUUCCAAAUCCUUUGGUGGGCAUCCUACGUGCAGGCCCAAGCCUGGAGGCUUGGGGUUCAGAUGCCCCUGAGUUUUGCUUGCCGUCAGCCAUAUGUCUACAGAAGCAAGCUAGGGAGGAGUCUCCCAUUGCUAUAAAGUUGGUGUGUAGCCAGGAUCCUCCCACUGGAAGCUGGCCAGCGGGAAGCUAACUGUGAGGCUGUCACAGGGAGUCCUGUCCGCAAGCAGACAAGGGUGCAACCCUCCACUAUGCAGUGCCAUUUUAAUUGCAUUACCUUGGUCAGGGUAUUUCACCUGCCACCACUGUGGUCCUGGUAUUUCCCCUACCAGGUAAGUAUGUGUGAUAGGUUGUGGUUGCAUAUGUACACCUCUCUGGUUGUGGAGUGAGGAGGCAUUAGCUGUGGAUUGUCUAUUCCCCGCCAGAGACCAACACCAGCAAAGCAAAGGUGACGGAUCACCCUCCUUUGUAGGGUGGAGUACCUGAACAAAGGGAAAAACUCUGGGGAGCGGGUAGAGGGGCUGGGGAAAGCUCUUACUCGUACUGCACGGAGAACUGUCACUGCCACAGCUGUCAGAGCCUGCAACAUCCUUGACACCUGAGUGAGAGAAGGGAGUUUGCUUUCUAUUCUCUACAUCAACCACUCUGUUACUGUGUGUUCAUUGUGUUCUCAUCGUUCGUUGCUGUAUGUUAAUUAUUUGCUCUUAUAUAAUAGUCGCGUGGUUUAAUUA